UGGGGAAUAUUGGACAAUGGGCGCAAGCCUGAUUCAGCCAUGCCGCGUGAGUGAUGAAGGCCUUAGGGUUGUAAAGCUCUUUCGGCGGGGACGAUAAUGACGGUACCCGCAGAAGAAGCCCCGGCUAACUUCGUGCCAGCAGCCGCGGUAAUACGAAGGGGGCUAGCGUUGCUCGGAAUCACUGGGCGUAAAGGGCGCGUAGGCGGACAUUUAAGUCGGGGGUGAAAGCCCAGGGCUCAACCCUGGAAUUGCCUCCGAUACUGGGUGUCUCGAGACCGGAAGAGGUGAGUGGAACUGCGAGUGUAGAGGUGAAAUUCGUAGAUAUUCGCAAGAACACCAGUGGCGAAGGCGGCUCACUGGUCCGGUUCUGACGCUGAGGCGCGAAAGCGUGGGGAGCAAACAGGAUUAGAUACCCUGGUAGUCCACGCCGUAAACGAUGGAUGCUAGCCGUUGGCAGGCUUGCCUGUCAGUGGCGCAGCUAACGCUUUAAGCAUCCCGCCUGGGGAGUACGGCCGCAAGGUUAAAACUUAAAUGAAUUGACGGGGUCAUAGCUGUUUCCU
This 560-nucleotide ribosomal RNA is filed under the name uncultured bacterium. RNAcentral's name for it is "partial 16S ribosomal RNA". It matches the Rfam family "Bacterial small subunit ribosomal RNA", at positions 355 to 1375 of the family's 1533-position model. The record is from RNAcentral.